Molecule: ribosomal RNA, 470 nt
Filed under: uncultured bacterium
Lineage: Bacteria
Description: SSU rRNA
Rfam family: Bacterial small subunit ribosomal RNA
Source: RNAcentral
AGGACGAACGCUGGCGGCGUGCUUAACACAUGCAAGUCGAGCGGAAAGGCCCUUCGGGGUACUCGAGCGGCGAACGGGUGAGUAACACGUGAGCAAUCUGCCCUUAGCUUCGGGAUAGCUCCGGGAAACCGGAAUUAAUACCGAAUAUGACUUCGGCCGACAUCGGCCUUGGUGGAAAGUUUUUCGGCUAGGGAUGAACUCGCGGCCUAUCAGCUUGUUGGUGGGGUAAUGGCCUACCAAGGCGACGACGGGUAGCCGGCCUGAGAGGGCGACCGGCCACACUGGGACUGAGACACGGCCCAGACUCCUACGGGAGGCAGCAGUGGGGAUAUUGCGCAAUGGGCGAAAGCCUGACGCAGCGACGCCGCGUGGGGGAUGAAGGCCUUCGGGUUGUAACCCCUUUCAGCAGGGACGAAGCGAAGUGACGGUACCUGCAGAAGAGCGCCGGCUAACUACGCGCCAGCAGCCGC